UCCUACACUACGUUUGCCGGUUCGCAGUC
This 29-nucleotide small RNA is filed under the name Bombyx mori (domestic silkworm). Its description in RNAcentral is "ovarian small RNA-27687". Lineage: Eukaryota; Metazoa; Arthropoda; Insecta; Lepidoptera; Bombycidae. The record is from RNAcentral.